RNAcentral lists this transfer RNA (73 nucleotides) under Felis catus (domestic cat). It matches the Rfam family "tRNA". From Rfam's summary of the family: Transfer RNA (tRNA) molecules are approximately 80 nucleotides in length. Their secondary structure includes four short double-helical elements and three loops (D, anti-codon, and T loops). Lineage: Eukaryota; Metazoa; Chordata; Mammalia; Carnivora; Felidae. The record is from Rfam by way of RNAcentral.
GCCUGACUGGCUCAGUUGGUGAAGCAUGUGACUCUUGUUCUCAGGGUUGUGAGUUCGAGCCCCACGCUGGGUA